CGAGAUCUAGCUAGCUUAGCUCUACGCAAAAAAAGAAAAAAAAUCAACAUCUAGCAGCAGCGACAUGGCAUCGUUUAGAAAAAGCAGUAGCAGCAGGCACUCAAUCCCAUCGAGAAUUCCUUUCUCACCACUCAGUUCUUAUCUUCUCCACACAUCCACCCAACUCGCUGCCUUCAUCUUUCUUUUCCUGCGACAUUUGCCCACCACCUAGCGCCACUUCUCCACCGGCAGCCGACGCGCACCACCAGACUUCCUCCUACGCCUCCGCCAGAGGCCCGGCCAGGCCUCGCGCGUGCAGGCCGGCCGCCAGCCCGGAACCCAUACACAGCCAGCCGCGCUGCAACAACGCCGCCGCCCGUACGCCGCCUCCCGCACCAACCACGCCCGAGCAAGCAACUCCCCUCGACCCCGGCGCCUGCAGCUCCUCCUCGGCUCCCCGUCCGGCACUCGACACCGUCACCGGCUACCCCCUGCAACUCGAGCCGAAGCAUCACACCCGCGCCAUGAAUCUCCGACCCUGAUGCCCAAGCUCCCGCCGCUGUUCAGCGUCAGAUCCGCGCCGCCCCACCUUCUCCGACCGUGUCGGGAGCCGCCGUCGCUGCCUGCUUCGUCUAGGCUUGGAGACGAUGAACGCCAGGAGCACCCGCGACGUCCAGCGCCAAGUCCUGCUCGAUCGAGACCCUCAGCGCCACUAAGCACCGGUCCUGCUGCCCCUGUUACCCCAGCCACCUACCGGAGAGAGAGGGCCUCCCCACCACCCAGCGCCACUCCUCCAUCCAGCGCCCACGAGCUGCCCUGCCCGAGUUCCUUCCUACCUGCUAAAGCCUGGUCGUGGUCCACCGCAGGCCACAACGGCAGCACGUGUUCCAGCCACCCAUGGCUCUGCUCCGCUUCCCCUCUUCCCUGAGGGCGGCACACGUCGGCGUGGUGGUGGGCGCACAACGGGAUGGGGGUUGCCCGGCGGCACAUGGCGGCGUGGGGUGGGCCGAUGGCGCGUGGCGAGGCGGGGCGUGGUGUGGGCAGGAGGUGGAGAUGGGAUAGGUAUUUUUUUGGAGGGGAUUGGGAGGCAGGGUCGUGCGGGUGGGUUAUUUCUUUUUUUCUCUCGUCGGUACCGGUUCGGGUUGACUUAUAAUAGUACGGCGGGUUGUAUAUCCGAAACUACAGGUACCUUUGUGUAAAAUGACGCGACGGUGAACCCGGAGACCCAAUCGAUGCUUUAUUAUUAAGGAGAGACGUACAGAUAUCUGUAAAAAGAAACACGUACAUAAUUAAAAAAAGAAACAAGUAUAGAGUCCUAACAAGCCACGCACACAAAAUCGGGUACAGAUAUCUGUAAAAAGAAACACACAUAUAUAGUUUUGCUGGAAAAAAGACAAAAUCUGACCAAACUUGCACGUACGUAAUAACUAGCAGAAAAAACAUACAUGUACAUAAUGACUAGCAGGAAAAAAAUCCAUCCCUCCUUAGGAAUCACGUACAGAUAUCUGUAAAAAGAAACAGUACAUAAUUAAAAAAGAAACAAGUAUAGAGUCCUAACAAGCCACGCGCACAAUUCACCCACGUACCCAACUCAUCUCCAUGUGCUGAUGUAAAAAAAAAACCCAUCUCCGUGUGCUGAUGCAUCUGCCUAUUCUUCUUUGCCUCCCUAGAGUUCGGUUAGGUCUCUAUCUAGACGUUGCCUUGACUCCUCCCGUCCUACGAUCUUCCACGCCCUGCUCCGUCAAUGUUCCCUCGAGUCCUCCCGUCCCCGACCUUCCAUGUUCUGCUCGGCUGGGAGGUCACAUCCAGCCUAAGAAUCAACAAGCUGGAGUUUUAGUCAUGCCACUAGCACCGUCCUAUGAUUUCCACGGCGCUACUCCACCUGGAGCUGCACCUCCGGCCUCCGGUUUGAGAAGCUGCAACUUCGGUUGUAGCAGCAGCGCCAUCAUCAUCAGCGGCCCAGGCUAAUGCAGUGCAGCACUGCUUUCUGAUAUUCCAUCAGUAGGCAAAUUGUGCAACAUGCACCGUUCCAUGGAUGAUAUUGAGGAUACAAACACAAUUACACUUCUAUUUUUGUAGUAUCAUCAAGAUAUACGGCUUUUCUUGGAUGCCCUUUUUAAACUAUGCCAUCAGCCUCUACAGAGAUAAA
Triticum dicoccoides is the source of this 2128-nucleotide long non-coding RNA. RefSeq lists it as uncharacterized. Lineage: Eukaryota; Viridiplantae; Streptophyta; Magnoliopsida; Poales; Poaceae. The record is from RefSeq and is a predicted model, not a curated record. The transcript is spliced from 2 exons.